This 497-nucleotide ribosomal RNA is filed under the name uncultured bacterium. RNAcentral's name for it is "partial 16S ribosomal RNA". It matches the Rfam family "Bacterial small subunit ribosomal RNA", at positions 28 to 507 of the family's 1533-position model. The record is from RNAcentral.
GAUGAACGCUGGCGGCGUGCCUAAUACAUGCAAGUCGAGCGAACAGACGAGGAGCUUGCUCCUCUGACGUUAGCGGCGGACGGGUGAGUAACACGUGGAUAACCUACCUAUAAGACUGGGAUAACUUCGGGAAACCGGAGCUAAUACCGGAUAAUAUAUUGAACAGCAUGGUUCAAUAGUGAAAGACGGUUUUGCUGUCACUUAUAGAUGGAUCCGAGCCGCAUUAGCUAGUUGGUAAGGUAACGGCUUAACAAGGCAACGAUGGGUAGCCGACCUGAGAGGGUGAUCGGCCACACUGGAACUGAGACACGGUCGAGACUCCUACGGGAGGCAGCAGUAGGGAAUCUUCCGCAAUGGGCGAAAGCCUGACGGAGCAACGCCGCGUGAGUGAUGAAGGUCUUCGGAUCGGAAAACUCUGUUAUUAGGGAAGAACAAAUGUGUAAGUAACUAUGCACGUCUUGACGGUACCUAAUCAGAAAGCCACGGCUAACUACGUG